CAGACAUCAAUCCAGGCUCUCCAAAUCUUUCUGAACAAGUCUCUCAUAUUUCAAACUUGUGCAAAUGUUUCAACGCGGCCCCUAUCUACUCCGUCCAGAGGCUGGUCCAGAUUAGAAGGCAGAAAAAACGAACUCGGGCCGACAUGUUCGCCGAGCUCAUGCAGUCAUCCUGCACUGAUAGGGCCCAGAUGAAUGUGUGGAGGCAAACAAUUGCGGAGUCCCGUAAAGCAUUACAGGAACUCGAAGAGAGGAGGGACACAUGAUGAGAGCAGAUGCCAGACUGUCUGGAAUGAGAAAGGAGAAGAGAGGCAUCUCCCAGCAAUGGAGCCAACGUCCUUGCAGCCUCACAACUAUCCCAGGACACACAACCUGUAUGUACCUGUUGGACAAUCAGAGGAGCUACUUCAUUCCUAUGGACCCCAAAUCAGAAUUCAACAUAUAUAUUUUAUACUAACACGCUUUAUACAUUUUUCAAAGUACUAAUUGUAUGUUACUUGUUGACCUAAAACCAUGGGAGGAGACAUUAUGUAAUCUUUAACUAUUGGCUACUGUGCUUAUCUUGUCUUGCUGCUAGACCUAUCCCGGGCCUUGGGACUACCUACCACAUCAUUUCCCUCCAUCCAUGGAUAAUCCAUGUAAUCCACCGCAAUCAAUUGUUUGGCAGUGUCUCUGAGCCUAAUAAGCAAGGUGAUAAUCCACCAAUGCUGUGCAGAAUAA
Molecule: long non-coding RNA, 717 nt
Organism: Malaclemys terrapin pileata
Lineage: Eukaryota; Metazoa; Chordata; Testudines; Emydidae
Exons: 5
Source: RefSeq, a predicted model, not a curated record